RNAcentral lists this non-coding RNA (142 nucleotides) under Nicotiana attenuata. RNAcentral describes it as "Bacterial large subunit ribosomal RNA". It matches the Rfam family "Bacterial large subunit ribosomal RNA", at positions 712 to 852 of the family's 2925-position model. Lineage: Eukaryota; Viridiplantae; Streptophyta; Magnoliopsida; Solanales; Solanaceae. The record is from Rfam by way of RNAcentral.
GACCCGAAACUGAUCGAUCUAGCCAUGAGCAGGUUGAAGAGAGCUCUAACACGCCUUAGAGGAUCGAACCCACGUAUGUGGCAAAAUACGGGGAUGACUUGUGGCUAGGGGUGAAAAGCCAACCAAGAUCGGAUAUAGCUGG